Molecule: ribosomal RNA, 254 nt
Filed under: uncultured bacterium
Lineage: Bacteria
Description: partial 16S ribosomal RNA
Rfam family: Bacterial small subunit ribosomal RNA
Source: RNAcentral
GACAGAGGAGCCAAGCGUUGUCCGGAUUGACUGGGCGUAAAGCGCACGCAGGCGGAUGCGCGCGUGGGGUGUGAAAUCUGGCCGCUUAACGGCCAGGCGCCAUCCCAUACGGCGCGUCUGGAGUGAUGCAGAGGUCGAUGGAAUUGCCGGUGUAGUGGUGAAAUGCGUAGAUAUCGAGAGGAACACCUGCGGCGAAGGCGGGUUGCUGGGCUGACACUGACGCUGACAGCGCGAAAGCUAGGGGAGCGAACGGG